RNAcentral lists this ribosomal RNA (427 nucleotides) under uncultured bacterium. RNAcentral describes it as "bacterial SSU rRNA". It matches the Rfam family "Bacterial small subunit ribosomal RNA", at positions 355 to 774 of the family's 1533-position model. The record is from RNAcentral.
UAGGGAAUAUUGGACAAUGGGGGCAACCCUGAUCCAGCCAUGCCGCGUGAGUGAAGAAGGCCCUCGGGUUGUAAAGCUCUUUUGUCCGGAAAGAAAAGCUUCGGGUUAAUACCCCGGGGUUCUGUCGGUACCGGAAGAAUAAGCAGCGGCUAACUUCGUGCCAGCAGCCGCGGUAAUACGAGGGGUGCAAGCGUUACUCGGAAUUACUGGGCGUAAAGCGAGCGUAGGUGGGUGUUUCAGUCGGAUGUGAAAGCCCUGGGCUCAACCUGGGAAUGGCAUUGGAAACUGGGCAGCGAGAGUGCGGUAGAGGGUAGUGGAAUUCCCGGUGUAGCAGUGAAAUGCGUAGAGAUCGGGAGGAACAUCUGUGGCGAAGGCGACUGCCUGGACCAGCACUGACACUGAGGCACGAAAGCGUGGGGAGCAAACA